This 109-nucleotide ribosomal RNA is filed under the name Bacillota bacterium. The record is from RNAcentral. Lineage: Bacteria; Bacillati; Bacillota.
CAAUAGCGGAGGGGAAACACCUGUUCCCAUUCCGAACACAGAAGUUAAGCCCUCCAGCGCCGAUGGUACUGCACUGGCAACGGUGCGGGAGAGUAGGUCGCUGCCGGAA